This 660-nucleotide ribosomal RNA is filed under the name Enterobacter hormaechei. Its description in RNAcentral is "bacterial SSU rRNA". It matches the Rfam family "Bacterial small subunit ribosomal RNA", at positions 69 to 720 of the family's 1533-position model. The record is from RNAcentral. Lineage: Bacteria; Pseudomonadati; Pseudomonadota; Gammaproteobacteria; Enterobacterales; Enterobacteriaceae.
ACAGGAAGCAGCUUGCUGCUUCGCUGACGAGUGGCGGACGGGUGAGUAAUGUCUGGGAAACUGCCUGAUGGAGGGGGAUAACUACUGGAAACGGUAGCUAAUACCGCAUAACGUCGCAAGACCAAAGAGGGGGACCUUCGGGCCUCUUGCCAUCGGAUGUGCCCAGAUGGGAUUAGCUAGUAGGUGGGGUAACGGCUCACCUAGGCGACGAUCCCUAGCUGGUCUGAGAGGAUGACCAGCCACACUGGAACUGAGACACGGUCCAGACUCCUACGGGAGGCAGCAGUGGGGAAUAUUGCACAAUGGGCGCAAGCCUGAUGCAGCCAUGCCGCGUGUAUGAAGAAGGCCUUCGGGUUGUAAAGUACUUUCAGCGGGGAGGAAGGCGAUGAGGUUAAUAACCUUGUCAGAUUGACGUUACCCGCAGAAGAAGCACCGGCUAACUCCGUGCCAGCAGCCGCGGUAAUACGGAGGGUGCAAGCGUUAAUCGGAAUUACUGGGCGUAAAGCGCACGCAGGCGGUCUGUCAAGUCGGAUGUGAAAUCCCCGGGCUCAACCUGGGAACUGCAUUCGAAACUGGCAGGCUAGAGUCUUGUAGAGGGGGGUAGAAUUCCAGGUGUAGCGGUGAAAUGCGUAGAGAUCUGGAGGAAUACCGGUGGCGAAG